GUGGGGAAUAUUGGACAAUGGGCGAAAGCCUGAUCCAGCCAUGCCGCGUGUGUGAAGAAGGUCUUCGGAUUGUAAAGCACUGUAAGUUGGGAGGAAGGGCAGUAAGUUAAUACCUUGCUGUUUUGACGUUACCGACAGAAUAAGCACCGGCUAACUUCGUGCCAGCAGCGGCGGUAAUACGAAGGGUGCAGGCGUUAGUGGGAAUUAUGGGGCGUAAAGUGCGCGUAGGUGGUUUUGUAAGGUGGCGGUGAAAUCCCCGGGCUCAACCUGGGAACUGCCUGCAAAACUGCAUGACUAGAGUACGGGAGAGGGUAGUGGAAUUUCCUGUGUAGCGGUGAAAUGCGUAGAUAUAGGAAGGAACACCAGUGGCGAAGGCGACUACCUGGACUGAUACUGACACUGAGGUGCGAAAGCGUGGGGAGCAAACAGGAUUAGAAACCCUAGUAGUCC
This 450-nucleotide ribosomal RNA is filed under the name uncultured bacterium. RNAcentral describes it as "partial 16S ribosomal RNA". It matches the Rfam family "Bacterial small subunit ribosomal RNA", at positions 354 to 796 of the family's 1533-position model. The record is from RNAcentral.